Long non-coding RNA from Neofelis nebulosa (Clouded leopard), 760 nucleotides. RefSeq lists it as uncharacterized. NCBI's taxonomy places the organism in Eukaryota, Metazoa, Chordata, Mammalia, Carnivora, Felidae. The record is from RefSeq and is a predicted model, not a curated record. The transcript has 3 exons.
GAGUUUCAGAAAAAUAUGGCUCAUGUAGAUAAGCAAGGAGUGGAAGACCCUCAGAUCAUUAUGGCAUAACCUGUGCUUUUGGGGUUACAAAACUAGAAAGAAUUCAGGAGAGAAGAUGAGGGCAAUGAAUGGCUUUUGUUUGCAGUUUGACAACCUGGUGAUGGCUGGAGAACACUCUGGAGACCGAAAGAGCCAUCUGUCAUGUGAGCUCAACAGCAAGCUAACCCCACCUGAUGGGAUGGGGCUGGAGGCAACAGAGGGCUGCCAAGCCUCCAGCCCCCUGGGAAGAAGCAUGCAUUGUCUCUCAAGAGGUUAGGAACCCCUUCUUUCCACUGGGCUUCCCCACAUUUAUCUCACACAACUCACCAAGCUGGAAUUUGACCUCUGCAGCCCUAAUCCCUUUUCCAUGUGAUUCUUCUGAGAUAUGGCUUCCACACAGCAUUCCCAAGGCCAAUCAUGCUGUCCUGUGACUCUAACAAAGAAGCCCCAACAAGGAAAUCAAGGGAACUGUGUGAGAAACAUGGAGGGCCUCCAGAAGCCUAUACCAUCCAUGGGUCACAGGUGCAGUUAUCCAAAUGAAAAGGCCCCCUUGGGGAAUACUAUGGCAGUGACUACUCAUUCAACUCAAAGUUGACCUCCAUCUCUGGAAUUCAUUCUUCCCAAAUUUGUUUGACCCUUUGCAACCAGCCCCUGCCUCCUGCUGUCACCCCCUUCCUGUAGGCAGCCGGGGUCCAUGAAAUAAAAAUAUCUACCACCCUUC